UGUGUAUAAUUUAGUUAUACUAUUCAGUCAAAUUAAUUAUAAUGGUUAUAAAAUGUUUUUUUAAUAAACUUUAAAACUCCCGACUUACAAUCAACCACCCUUCAAAAAAAAUGAUGACUGCGGUAAUUAAAAGUCAUUAACUGUUGGUGCGCAAUUAUUAUGCUAGUCAACACUAACAAGCAAUACACCAACAAAUUUUUGUGGUUAAAUUCACGCGGUUACAAAGGUAGAAUAGAGAAUUAAGCAGUGAGAUAAAUUAAAAUCUUCACUAACUAUAUUUCCCAUUUUUCUGUUAAUGAUCCUUCCGCAGGUUCACCUACGGAAA
RNAcentral lists this unclassified non-coding RNA (325 nucleotides) under uncultured fungus. Its description in RNAcentral is "sequence contains ITS1". Lineage: Eukaryota; Fungi. The record is from RNAcentral.